GUGAUCCACCAGCCUCGGCCUCACAAAGUGCUGGGAUUACAGGUAUGAGCCACCACGCCCAGCCUGCAAACAUAUGUUGAACUCUUUGCACAGUGCCCUGCAUGAGAUAGAUGACAGCUCCUUCUUCCAUGUUGUUAAUUUGGUGUGAGUAUAUGUUAUAUGUAUGUAUAUGCAAGAUAAUAAUCUUCUUGUAACCACUGACAGGCCUUUUUGUGAAUGAUGAUGGAAAAAGCAAGAACCUUGUCCAGGUUCCUCUCCAGGGAGCAGGGGUGGGUUGUGAUUCUUGAUUUCAUUCCUUUAGAUAUGAAGAGUUUUCACACAGAGGCAGCACGAAUUUGUCUCUCUCCUAGAGGGUGGGGAGAGUUGCUGGGUGGAUAUAACUGCAUCACAGCCUUUCUGGGUAAACUGGCCACUCCCUACUGAUUUGUUAUCAUGCUAAAUGUGUCUCCUCCCUUCCUUUCUGGAGCUUUUGCAGCUGUUCCUGGAAGGAGACCCAGUUGAAAGGGGUUGUUAUGGACCAGGAACAGCUGGGAUCUUUAAUGAUCUGUGAGCAGCUUACAGCAAAGUUCCAACACCCUGAGUAUCAGUCCCCAAAUCCUUGGUCUUUGCAUUCCAACACAAAGUAAAAAGGAUUGAGCAGGGUUUUGGUUUUGGUUGCAAGUAACAGAAACCCAACGCUAAUUAAUAAACGGGAAAGUGUGUCAGUGGAAAUGUAAGUAAGAAGAGAUUUCAUUUACUGGCCAAUUCAAAAGAUGACAAGCUUUAGGCGUGGCUCAGUCCAGUGGCUCAUGAUGUCUUCAGGACUCAGUGUUUCUCUGUUGUCAUCUCUUAGUUCUAUUAUUUUUUCUGUGUUGGUUCAUUAUGAGGUUUCCUUUAGAGGGUGGCAGAGAAAGCCACUAGUUGCUUCAAGUCUUUAUUUUACCAGCUCCACAAGUCCGACGGAAAGAGAAAACUGCUUUCCCAAAGGGUGUAAGAGGAUGAAAGGCAUGUCAUCAGCUGAAUUGCAUCAGGUGUCCAUCUUGGAAUCAAUCACGGUGCCUCUUAUUAGCAAAGCCUGAGUCAUAGAGCAGAGCUUUCUCCAGCUGGUAGAAAAAGGGGAAGUAUGAGACUUAAAGGUGGAGGUGGCCCCAUGGAAAAGACCUAAGGGUAGCCUGCGGGAACUGAGAGAAAACCCCAACUGGCAGCCAGCAAGAAAACAGGGACCUUAAUCUUACGACCACAAGGAACUGGACUCUGCUACCAGAAUGAGCUGCAAGGGAGAUUCUUCCUCAGAAGCUUCAGAUAAGAACUCCACCUGGCUGACCUUUGAUUUUGGUUUUGUGAGAACUUUGGCAGAUAACCCAGGCAUGUGUCAUUUCACAUCUGCAUAAAAAGACAUGCUGAAGGAUGUUCCUUGCAGAAUGGUUAUAGAGAAAAAUGGGAAUAACCACGAUAUAAAGUAACAGGAUUUCAACAGUGAAGGAGACCUGAGAAACCAUAAAAUCAAUCUCUCAAAUUGAAGUUGAAAAAAGCAAAUCAUCUCUCACACCCACCCUGAUUGGUAAUAAUUAACUUGGCAAUACUUCAGUUACUCUUUCAUUAAGCAGUUCUCCUAGAUAUCGAAUUUAUGUUAGUUUAUUUAUUGGAUUCAUCCUAAGCAUUCAAGGUACUUUUGAAGGAUAUGAGGCAAACUGUUAGCAUCAUUUAACAUUUAUUGAAUUGUAGCAUCCACAUAACUUAGAGCAGACACAAGACUUAAUGAGAAAAGCAAGACAUUAUUCCUGUUUUAUAGAGAGUAACCAAGGCCAACAGGUAGAAAGAAGACUUGCCCAAAGUCAGACAGAAAAUGUUGAGAGGAGAUUAGGACCCACUUAGGUUAUUUUUGGUAGAUUGCUCUUUUCACUUAUACAUAGCUGAGUUUGCCAGGAAUAAAGAAAAUAUACUGAACAUGAACAGUUAAUUGAGAUGCUUAAGCGUAAACACAUGGAGGGGUGGUAGGUAAGCGCUUGUGUUGACUCAGCCAUCAUUCUGUUUGUGUGUGCCAAUCAGUCUCUGCCAGUUGGUAUCAGUCAUUAUCCAAUGAGAGAAAUGAGAGCUAGGAAAAGGGGAGUGAGCCCCGAUUAUCUUUUAUAAGUAUAUAAAUUGAUGGCUAUGGUAGGAUUUUUCUCAAUGUGGAAACUCGAAGUUCUGUGCCUAAGUUUUAUUUCAAGAAACAUUUUGUUUGUGUCAAUAGAUCCAGAGCCAAUGGGUUCAUUUAAAACUCUCUUUCAUGAUGGCAAUGAAUAAAAGAGGAUCCUAGACCAUCAGAAGAUUUUAGCCUUGGAGCUCCCCACCGUCCUAACACACACAGAUAGAGCUGGCUCCGAACUCUGCUGCUUCCAUGGUCGUGGCUACCUACUACUCUGUUCCUACUUCAUCUUCACUGUGAUUUUUGUCCAUAUGUCAGACUGAAGCAGACUGCUUAGGGCCUUGGGUUGAGGGAGCUUAUAGAACCUUGGGAACCAGGAACCCUUUAGGACCCUGUGAACUACAAGUCUGCUAUUUUAGGAAGUGGAUAAAAUGGCAUUUUGACAGAUCUGGAGGGUCUUGGAUCUACCUUUCAACAUUGGCAUUACUGAUAUUAGAGUACCACCACUCACUAGCUGUGGAGAUGUAGGAAGAUUACUUAACCACUCAGAGCCUUGGUUUCCUCAUUUGUUAUGUGAAGAUGACAAUAUCAGAUGACAGUGAGAUCUGAGAUGAAUUUAACUGCCUUCAGUAGUGCUGGCCUGCUCCUGAGAGAGAGAUGAUUGAGAGGGAGGAAGUAGAGAGGAGGAAGAAGCCUUUACUCACACUCCUUGAGGAGUGAUUCAGGUGGACAGCCUGAAUUACGGGAUUUAUUGGCAGCAAGUAAGUAUUGUCUGAGUGGAUUACUGCAAAAUGCUUUAGCUGGGGAUGGCUUUGAAAACCACUCAUCAAUUACAGAUGGUACCCAGUAUAGCAGCAGGAGUACCCUUGCGGGCUUUUGUUAUCUCCGACCUCUUCCUUCAUGGGUGACCGUUCUAACCCAAAGACCUCAACUGUUCAUCAAAAACCUGCCACUCAGAACUGCAUAUCAAUUAUUAAACAAUGUCCCAUGCAGGACAGUGACUUUAAAUUAUCUUGGAAAUGAUAAAGACCAACAUUUGUCUUUGUUAACAUGCUGAGUGAUUCUGUGGUCUCUAGUCACAGGUGAAAGGAUCAGAUUUGAGAUUUCUAGACACCAGAAUCACAUUAGGGUUAAGCAAAACUCCAUCUUUUCCCAGAGAAAAUUUAGCCAGAAAUGUUGCUUAUUUGAGAUGAGAAGUAAGAUGAAGUGUUCUAACAUGGCGGAGCUUGAUAUGCAAAUGAGCCCAUCUAGGGACAGUAGGGAUUGGUAAUGUGGGUCUGUGGAUGCCUGGAAGGCUCACAGAAAGACUUCAGGAAUUCCUGAGUCUCUUCAAAGUGUAAGCAAAAUUUUGUGUGUAUUUUCUUAUUUGCAUGAUAUGGCUUGGCUGUGUCCCCACCCAAACCUUAUCUCGAAUUGUAACUCCCACAAUUCCCACAUGUCGUGGAAGGAUCCUGGUGGGAUUCAUUAUGGGGGCAGGUCUUUCCAGUGCUGUUCUCAUGAUAGUGAAUGAGUCUCACAAUAUCUGAUGGUUUUAAA
Molecule: long non-coding RNA, 3643 nt
Filed under: Homo sapiens (human)
Lineage: Eukaryota; Metazoa; Chordata; Mammalia; Primates; Hominidae
Description: HSALNT0349302
Source: RNAcentral